GACGAACGCUGGCGGCGUGCCUAAUACAUGCAAGUCGAGCGAAGCUGCUGAUGGGUGAGUAACGCGUGGGUAACCUGCCCUUAAGUCUGGGAUACCAUUUUGCAGCAGAUUCUAAUACCGGAUACUAAAGGAUGGACCUGAGAGGCAUUAGCUAGUUGGUAAGGUAACGGCUUACCAAGGCGAUGAUGCAUAGCCGGGGUGAGAGACUGAUCGGCCACAUUGGGACUGAGACACGGCCCAAACUCCUACGGGAGGCAGCAGUGGGGAAUCUUCCACAAUGGACGAAAGUCUGAUGGAGCAACGCCGCGUGAGUGAAGAAGGUUUUCGGAUCGUAAAGCUCUGUUGUUGGUGAAGCGGUAAUCAACCAGAAAGUAACGGCUAACUACGUGCCAGCAGCCGCGGUAAUAC
This 408-nucleotide ribosomal RNA is filed under the name uncultured bacterium. RNAcentral describes it as "partial 16S ribosomal RNA". It matches the Rfam family "Bacterial small subunit ribosomal RNA", at positions 28 to 526 of the family's 1533-position model. The record is from RNAcentral.